RNAcentral lists this ribosomal RNA (253 nucleotides) under uncultured bacterium. Its description in RNAcentral is "partial 16S ribosomal RNA". It matches the Rfam family "Bacterial small subunit ribosomal RNA", at positions 524 to 776 of the family's 1533-position model. The record is from RNAcentral.
GACAGAGGGUGCAAACGUUGCUCGGAAUCACUGGGCGUAAAGCGCGUGUAGGCGGACAAUCAAGUCAGGUGUGAAAUCCCCGGGCUCAACCUGGGAACUGCAUCUGAAACUGGUUGUCUCGAGUAUCGGAGAGGGAAGCGGAAUUCCUGGUGUAGAGGUGAAAUUCGUAGAUAUCAGGAGGAACACCGGUGGCGAAGGCGGCUUCCUGGACGAUUACUGACGCUGAGACGCGAAAGUGUGGGUAGCAAACAGG